AUAAAAGAUGAAGAGCUAUAAUCCAAAAGGUCCAAAAAGUAUAGCCAAAUCCGUGAAAUGAAUCAGAGCUUUGCAUGAGGGAGAUACAUUCCUUAAUUUAUAAUAAUUUCUAUCAUUUUGUAACAGCAAAUUUUAAUAACACAAAAAAUCUGUAUUUUCAUGCCAGUACCGAAGUACUGGCUACUGGGCUGGGGAUACCCUCGGGGACUAAUAGUCCACCAGCAGAGGCAUCGACCCAGUGGUAAUAAUAAAAUUAACGGUACCAAUUUUCUUGCACCAGAUGCGCAUUUCGACAAUACAUGUCUCUUCAGUGAUGCUUGUGGCCAAAAUAUUUGAAAUCCAAAGC
RNAcentral lists this long non-coding RNA (346 nucleotides) under Mytilus galloprovincialis (Mediterranean mussel). The record is from RNAcentral. Lineage: Eukaryota; Metazoa; Mollusca; Bivalvia; Mytilida; Mytilidae.